Molecule: non-coding RNA, 45 nt
Organism: Xenopus tropicalis (tropical clawed frog)
Lineage: Eukaryota; Metazoa; Chordata; Amphibia; Anura; Pipidae
Source: Rfam
CCAAAGGCUCUUUUCAGAGCCGCCCACUCACUCAGUUAUUUAGAG